RNAcentral lists this ribosomal RNA (478 nucleotides) under uncultured bacterium. Its description in RNAcentral is "partial 16S ribosomal RNA". It matches the Rfam family "Bacterial small subunit ribosomal RNA", at positions 28 to 507 of the family's 1533-position model. The record is from RNAcentral.
GACGAACGCUGGCGGCGUGCUUAACACAUGCAAGUCGAACGGGAUUUAGUAAACAGAAGCCUCGGUGGAAGAUUACUAAUGAGGGUGGCGAACGGGUGAGUAACGCGUGAGCAACCUGCCUAUGACAGUGGGAUAGCCUCGGGAAACCGGGAUUAAUACCGCAUAAAAUCGUAGAAACACAUGUUUUAACGGUCAAGGAUUUAUCGGUCAUAGAUGGGCUCGCGUCUGAUUAGCUAGUUGGUGAGAUAACAGCCCACCAAGGCGACGAUCAGUAGCCGGUCUGAGAGGAUGAACGGCCACAUUGGAACUGAGACACGGUCCAAACUCCUACGGGAGGCAGCAGUGGGGAAUAUUGCACAAUGGGGGAAACCCUGAUGCAGCGACGCCGCGUGAACGAAGAAGGUAUUCGUAUCGUAAAGUUCUGUCCUAUGGGAAGAUAAUGACAGUACCAUAGAAGAAAGCUCCGGCUAAAUACGUG